This 277-nucleotide ribosomal RNA is filed under the name uncultured bacterium. RNAcentral describes it as "partial 16S ribosomal RNA". It matches the Rfam family "Bacterial small subunit ribosomal RNA", at positions 28 to 318 of the family's 1533-position model. The record is from RNAcentral.
GAUAAACGCUGGCGGCGUGCCUAACACAUGCAAGUCGCACGUCCUCCGUUUUCGGACGGAGGGAGUGGCGGACGGGUGAGUAACGCGUGGGUUACCUACCUUCGAGUGAGGAAUACCGGCGAGAAAUCGCCGACAAUGCCGCAUACGCUUGCGCACGCAAGCAAAGCCGUAAGGCGCUCGAAGAUGAGCCUACGUCCGAUUAGCUGGUUGGUGGGGUAAUGGCCUACCAAGGCGACGAUCGGUCGCUGGUCUGAGAGGAUGAUCAGCCACACUGGGA